GAAAAAAAAAAAAAAAAACC
This 20-nucleotide microRNA is filed under the name Corchorus capsularis. RNAcentral's name for it is "sRNA CCACVL1_25469". The record is from RNAcentral. Lineage: Eukaryota; Viridiplantae; Streptophyta; Magnoliopsida; Malvales; Malvaceae.